Molecule: long non-coding RNA, 1514 nt
Organism: Paramisgurnus dabryanus
Lineage: Eukaryota; Metazoa; Chordata; Actinopteri; Cypriniformes; Cobitidae
Source: RefSeq, a predicted model, not a curated record
AUAGAUGUCCACUGACGUCUUUUACACGUCUAGACUAGACUAGUAGGAAAAAAACAGAAUUAUCUUUAUGAAAUACACGAUUUGUAUACAAAGUAAAUAUAUUAACUUUAUCUUGUUUAAAUAAAUUAUAAUCUUAAAGUGCCCAGUGUGAUUGCAAAGCCACAAUACAUUUUAGUCAUUAUUACAACCUGCUUUAUUAUUAAAUGUAUGCAUAUAAAUGUAAAGAAAGUAUAUAUCCGGUUACCAUUUAGGUCUGAGUUGGAUGUAAUUUCAUAAACUGCGCUGCCAAGAAUGUUUUAACAAAAUAUUUUACAAAAUCGCGCGAUAGGAUAGAUUUUCUCGCGAGAUAGUUGUCACGUGACGUGUUCUCCCGGAAGUACGUCGUGUGCAGCCAGCAAGCCACGAGGAGAGGGUGAAUUUACGAAGGAGUUGUGUCUAUAUAUUAUAUAAAAUCUACUAUUGGUUGAAGAUCAACACAAACCAAAUGAAGAUGUUGUAGAUUCUACAAAUAAAAAAGAAGGUGAUGGCACACAUCAUGACAGUAAACAUCGGUAUCAAGAUGGUGUGAUUGAUCUAUACCCUAGAAUAAGCUGUGACACUGAUGCUGUGGUCACAUAAUGAACAGCCAUCUUACAGACAACCGAAAGAGUAUUGUCUACAAUCCCAAAUUCUGGAUUGACGAUCCAGUACCAGUGGGCACCCCAAUCCCAGAGAGCAUCCAUCUGAAACCAGGUGAGGUAACACAACGAAAAAAUUACCGGAUGGAGACUACCUGAUUCUUCACCUAUGGCCUUAGCUUCAAAUGCAAGAAGUCCAGCAACUGUCUGAGUUGGUGGAUAUUCUGUCAGAGACUCCGUGGACAACGUUAUGAAUAGGUUAUUUGUCUAAGGUGAAGUAAUCUUACAGUUCUUUCACAGAAUGAUGUGAAAUUGUCUUAUGGCAAAGUUCAAUAUGAAGGGUGGUGGACAUCAGGAAAAGAAGUCUUUUAAAGGCACACCUUUGUAUUAUGUUAUUUAAGAUGCUGUGAAGAGGUGGAGCCCAAAUGCCACCGAAUCGGAAAUAGAUGCAGCUAUGGCAGACCACCUCAAGCACGCUCCUGGAAGAGCUGGGGGUGGUGGAUACAAAAAAGCCUAACAGCUGUGAUGUGUUAAAGAGAGAGUUCACCAAAAAAGGAAAAUUGUUAUAAUUUUCUUAUCCACAUGUUUCAAACCUGUAUACCUUUCUAUUUUCUGCUGAACACAAAGAUUGAAGAAUGUUUGUAACUUCACAACCCAUUAACUGUCAAUAUUUUUUUUUUUACAAUUGUAGUAAUGGGUUGUGAGAUCUGCUUUGUUAAAAACAUUCUUUCAAAUAUCUUUGUGUUCAGCAGAACAUAGAAAGGUAUACAGGUUUGAAACAUGAGAUGGAAUAAAUGACUAAAUAUUAAUUUUUGGGUGAACUAUCCCUUUAUAGAAAGUGUUUUGAAAUUGUUAUUAUAGUUAAAUGGUUAAAAAAUAAAAAGUGCUAAAUCAGAA